Molecule: ribosomal RNA, 500 nt
Filed under: uncultured bacterium
Lineage: Bacteria
Description: partial 16S ribosomal RNA
Rfam family: Bacterial small subunit ribosomal RNA
Source: RNAcentral
AUUGAACGCUGGCGGCAGGCUUAACACAUGCAAGUCGAGCGGGGAAGGUAGCUUGCUACCGGACCUAGCGGCGGACGGGUGAGUAAUGCUUAGGAAUCUGCCUAUUAGUGGGGGACAACAUCUCGAAAGGGAUGCUAAUACCGCAUACGUCCUACGGGAGAAAGCAGCGGAUCUUCGGACCUUGCGCUAAUAGAUGAGCCUAAGUCGGAUUAGCGAGUUGGUGGGGUAAAGGCCUACCAAGGCGACGAUCUGUAGCGGGUCUGAGAGGAUGAUCCGCCACACUGGGACUGAGACACGGCCCAGACUCCUACGGGAGGCAGCAGUGGGGAAUAUUGGACAAUGGGGGGAACCCUGAUCCAGCCAUGCCGCGUGUGUGAAGAAGGCCUUAUGGUUGUAAAGCACUUUAAGCGAGGAGGAGGCUACUCUAGUUAAUACCUAGGGAUAGUGGACGUUACUCGCAGAAUAAGCACCGGCUAACUCUGUGCCAGCAGCCGCCGUAA